Molecule: ribosomal RNA, 402 nt
Filed under: Verrucomicrobiota bacterium
Lineage: Bacteria; Pseudomonadati; Verrucomicrobiota
Description: Verrucomicrobia bacterium partial 16S ribosomal RNA
Rfam family: Bacterial small subunit ribosomal RNA
Source: RNAcentral
UGGGGAAUUUUGCACAAUGGGGGAAACCCUGAUGCAGCGACGCCGCGUGAUUUAGAAGGCCUUCGGGUUGUAAAAAUCUUUUGUAUGGGAAGAAAAUGACAGUACCAUACGAAUAAGGACCGGCUAAUUACGUGCCAGCAGCCGCGGUAAUACGUAAGGUCCGAGCGUUGUCCGGAAUCAUUGGGCGUAAAGGGUACGUAGGCGGAUAAGCAAGUUAGAAGUGAAAUCCUAUAGCUCAACUAUAGUAAGCUUUUAAAACUGCUCAUCUUGAGGUAUGGAAGGGAAAGUGGAAUUCCUAGUGUAGCGAUGAAAUGCGCAGAUAUUAGGAGGAGUACCGGUGGCGAAGGCGACUUUCUGGCCAUAUACUGACGCUGAGGUACGAAAGCGUGGGUAGCAAACAGG